GUGGUCCUCAACCCAGUCCUCAUGGAUCACCAACAGUCCAGGUUAUUUCACUAUCUUCAUUGGAAUAAAACAAGGAACUACAUAAAUCCUGGACUGUUGGUGGUCUAUGAGGACUGGGUUGGAGACCA
Non-coding RNA from Pelobates cultripes (western spadefoot toad), 128 nucleotides. The record is from the annotation of a GenBank genome assembly. NCBI's taxonomy places the organism in Eukaryota, Metazoa, Chordata, Amphibia, Anura, Pelobatidae.